AUGGCAACCGCCGUUCCACCGAUCAUCUCCCCGAAGGAAGAUCUCCCCCCUCCACUGACCUCCGCCUCCGAGCCCCCUCCGCUCUUCGACGGCACCACCAGGCUGUAUCUUGCAUAUCACUGCCCGUACGCGCAGCGCGCUUGGAUUGCCAGGAACUGCAAGGUAGGUUUACAGGACAAGAUCAAGGUAGUCGCCAUAGAUCUGGCAGACAGGCCAGCUUGGUACAAGGAGAAGGUUUACCCGGAGAACAAGGUGCCUGCCCUGGAGCAUAACAACCAGGUGAAAGGAGAGAGCUUGGAUUUGGUCAAGUACAUUGACAGCAAUUUUGAUGGCCCAGCAUUGCUGCCUGAUGAUUCUGCAAAGAAGCAGUUUGCUGAGGAACUGCUUGCGUUCAGCGAUGGGUUUAAUAGUGCAUUUUUCUCAUGCUUACGCUCCAAGGGAGAUGUGUCAGAUGAAGCCGCUGCUGCUGUGGAUAAAAUAGAAGCUGCCUUGGGAAAGUUCAGCGACGGCCCAUUCUUCCUUGGCCAGUUCAGUUUGGUGGACAUUGCAUAUGUGCCAUUCAUCGAAAGGUUUCAAAUAUUCUAUUCUGGUAUCAAGAAGGAUGAUCUCGCCAAGGGCAGGCCCAACCUGCACAAAUUCAUUGAGGAAGUGAACAAGGUGGACGCAUAUACACAGACCAAACUGGACCCACAGUUUCUGCUUGAUCAAAUGAAGGAGAAGUUUGGCAUUGCUUGA
Molecule: ribosomal RNA, 735 nt
Filed under: Triticum aestivum (bread wheat)
Lineage: Eukaryota; Viridiplantae; Streptophyta; Magnoliopsida; Poales; Poaceae
Description: partial small subunit ribosomal RNA
Source: RNAcentral